RNAcentral lists this ribosomal RNA (442 nucleotides) under uncultured bacterium. RNAcentral describes it as "bacterial SSU rRNA". It matches the Rfam family "Bacterial small subunit ribosomal RNA", at positions 954 to 1396 of the family's 1533-position model. The record is from RNAcentral.
GAUUAACGCGAAGAACCUUACCUGGUCUUGACAUCCACGGAAGUUUUCAGAGAUGAGAAUGUGCCUUCGGGAACCGUGAGACAGGUGCUGCAUGGCUGUCGUCAGCUCGUGUUGUGAAAUGUUGGGUUAAGUCCCGCAACGAGCGCAACCCUUAUCCUUUGUUGCCAGCGGUCCGGCCGGGAACUCAAAGGAGACUGCCAGUGAUAAACUGGAGGAAGGUGGGGAUGAUGUCAAGUCAUCAUGGCCCUUACGACCAGGGCUACACACGUGCUACAAUGGCGCAUACAAAGAGAAGCGACCUCGCGAGAGCAAGCGGACCUCAUAAAGUGCGUCGUAGUCCGGAUUGGAGUCUGCAACUCGACUCCAUGAAGUCGGAAUCGCUAGUAAUCGUGGAUCAGAAUGCCACGGUGAAUACGUUCCCGGGCCUUGUACACACCGAAUC